This 587-nucleotide long non-coding RNA is filed under the name Anas platyrhynchos platyrhynchos (common mallard). RNAcentral's name for it is "lncRNA (ENSAPLG00000027895.1)". Lineage: Eukaryota; Metazoa; Chordata; Aves; Anseriformes; Anatidae. The record is from RNAcentral.
GGAGAGCAGAAGAAUCUGGAAAAUCCAUGUGCGCCUGCUUACCUUGCUGCAGCUUGCAUGCAGAUACAGGCAUGGUUCUUAAAGGCCAAACAUGAGAAUUCCCUGUAUUUUGUUGCCCUUGAUCAUGGCUUUGGGCCUUUGUCCUUGAAAACAGAGUUUAAUGACUAUGACUCCUCCCACCUCCGCGAUGUGUGUGAAGAGAUGUUUCUCCAUAUCCCCUGCAGGAAUGCUCUGAACAUUGCCUUACUCCUGAUCUAGUCUUGCCUGAGGGGCUUGGCUGGGAAAGAAAUUGAACCUUUGGACGUUUUUCUGUCUUGCAUUUCCUAGAUUCAGUGACUGACAAAUCAAUUUCAAAUCUGCCUCGAUGAUCAGAAGUGCAAAUCUUAUAAAACCUCGAGUUUUGGAUCCAGACUCUGACACUAUUCAAAUCCUCAGCUAACAGCAGGGUGCUCAGAGAAUUCAGCCAGCAGCAUGCUCCAGUUUAGAAUUUCCUGCAAGUUCAUGGCUGAGUUUCGUGAAGACCGCUCUGCCACUGACAUCUUCUCCUGGCAAUGUGACAGAAAAUAAAUUGAAUAAUAUUAUGGUCA